Molecule: ribosomal RNA, 375 nt
Filed under: uncultured organism
Description: partial 16S ribosomal RNA
Rfam family: Bacterial small subunit ribosomal RNA
Source: RNAcentral
GUAGGUGGCAAGCGUUGUCCGGAAUUAUUGGGCGUAAAGCGCGCGCAGGCGGGGUCCUUUAAGUCUGAUGUGAAAGCCCACGGGCUCAACCGUGGAGGGUCAUUGGAAACUGGGGGACUUGAGUACAGAAGAGGAAAGCGGAAUUCCAAGUGUAGCGGUGAAAUGCGUAGAGAUUUGGAGAAACACCAGUGGCGAAGGCGGCUUUCUGGUCUGUAACUGACGCUGAGGCGCGAAAGCGUGGGGAGCAAACAGGAUUAGAUACCCUGGUAGCCCACGCCGUAAACGAUGAGUGCUAAGUGUUAGGGGGUUUCCGCCCCUUAGUGCUGCAGCUAACGCAUUAAGCACUCCGCCUGGGGAGUACGGCCGCAAAGGCUG